CUAGAAUGCUAAUGGCUAGCUCUUUAAAGGGUAUACGAUUCUGGAGAUUCCUGCUUGCAUUACAGCGUGUUAUUAUCUCGACUCUUGAAAUCCAAUUUACUAACAUCUAUUCCAGGAAAUAGUACGCCUGUUGACUGAUUUCAACGAUCACUAAAUUUGGAAUUUCCAACAUGCCCUCGUGCAUUAUAAAGGGAUGUACCCACACCUGGAAAAACAAAGAAAAAAAUAUCAUAAUGCAUGUCUUUCCAAAAGAUCCCAGAAUAGUCCGGAAAUGGCUUGAGCAGGCUCCUGACCAUUUUCCAAACGUGGACGAAUGGCUUGAAAAAAUCUUGGAAACACAAAAAAAAAAAAGAUAAUUAUCGAUUGUGCUCAAAGCACUUUGACUAUUUUUCAUAUGAAGAAGGAGGAUUGCGUAAAAAAUUACGUCGUGAUGCUGUGCCCACCAUUUUCCCACCAAAAAUUUGCAGUACCCGGGAUUCAUCGGAUGCAACUACUGAGACGGAAAGUCAGACAACUUCCGAAUCAUUUGUUAGUUUAGAAUCACGCUCCGCUACUCCUUUAGGAGAUAUUUCCGGAGAAGUAGUUGGACAAACUAAAACUUCCGAUGGAACAUUGCCAACAAUAGCAGCUACCCCAUGUGUCAAAAGAAAACCAAAAAGAAGAAGGGUAUCAGAACAUCAAAACACACAAGUUGUGUCACAUCCGGUUGGUUCAAGUGGGAAUGUCGUUCUACACGGUGAAAUGAAUCUCCUGGGAAGCACGAUCCAACUUCACCUGCCAAUUACUGCAACUGUUACAGACACCAA
Molecule: long non-coding RNA, 806 nt
Organism: Bufo bufo (common toad)
Lineage: Eukaryota; Metazoa; Chordata; Amphibia; Anura; Bufonidae
Exons: 3
Source: RefSeq, a predicted model, not a curated record